GACGAACGCUGGCGGCGCGCUUAACACAUGCAAGUCGAACGGAAAGGCCUGCUUUCCCUUGUGGUUUGCGGGUACUCGAGUGGCGAACGGGUGAGUAACACGUGAGUGAUCUGCCCCCAACUUGGGUAUAAGCCUGGGAAACUGGGUCUAAUUCCCGAUAGGACUGCAGGGUGGAGCCUGUGGUGGAAAACGAUUUUCUAGUGGUUGGGGAUGAGCUCGCGGACUAUCAGCUUGUUGGUGGGGGACUGUCCUACCAAGGCGGCGACGGGUAGCCGGCCUGGGGAGGGGGCCGGCCACAUUGGGGCUGCGGUACAGCCCCGACUCCUACGGGAGGCGGCAGUGUGGAACAUAGCGCAAGGGGCGGAAGCCUAGUGCAGCGACGCGGCGGGGGGGAUGACGGCCUUCGGGUUGUAAACUCCUUUCGACAGCGAGAAAGCCACCUGGUUGGAAGGGUGGUGACGGUAGUGGGAGAAGAAGCACCGGCUAACUACGUG
This 494-nucleotide ribosomal RNA is filed under the name uncultured bacterium. Its description in RNAcentral is "partial 16S ribosomal RNA". It matches the Rfam family "Bacterial small subunit ribosomal RNA", at positions 28 to 507 of the family's 1533-position model. The record is from RNAcentral.